Molecule: long non-coding RNA, 351 nt
Organism: Mauremys reevesii (Reeves's turtle)
Lineage: Eukaryota; Metazoa; Chordata; Testudines; Geoemydidae
Exons: 3
Source: RefSeq, a predicted model, not a curated record
ACCAGGGACCUCCAGAGCUAAACCCUGCCUCUGUAACUGACUCAUAUCCUCUGCGGUUUGGGCACAGAGUAGGACCUAUCUUAGAUAUUUUCCUGGAGCAGAGAUUCCUCUGAUGGAAGACUGCAGCCAGCCCUAAAGAGCAAUUUACAGGAGAAGCUCUUGGAAAUGGGUACGGAAGUGUCCUCCCCUGGGAAGAUUCCUGCCCUUCACUGAGCUCUGGUGCAUUCCAAGGAUAAAACAUUUGCUCUUUAAAAUAUCGUAGCACCUAGGAGCCCUAGUCACUGACCAGGACCCCAUUGUGCUUGGUGCUGGACAAACGCAGAACAAAGAUUUGGUCCCUAUCUCAAGUAA